RNAcentral lists this ribosomal RNA (1287 nucleotides) under metagenome. RNAcentral's name for it is "bacterial SSU rRNA". It matches the Rfam family "Bacterial small subunit ribosomal RNA", at positions 242 to 1520 of the family's 1533-position model. The record is from RNAcentral.
UAGCUAGUUGGUGAGGUAAAGGCUUACCAAGGCGACGAUCUGUAGCGGGUCUGAGAGGAUGAUCCGCCACACUGGAACUGAGACACGGUCCAGACUCCUACGGGAGGCAGCAGUGGGGAAUUUUGGACAAUGGGGGCAACCCUGAUCCAGCCAUGCCGCGUGAGUGAAGAAGGCCUUCGGGUUGUAAAGCUCUUUCGGCCGGGAAGAAAUCGCAUGGGCCAAUACCCUGUGUGGAUGACGGUACCGGAAUAAGAAGCACCGGCUAACUACGUGCCAGCAGCCGCGGUAAUACGUAGGGUGCGAGCGUUAAUCGGAAUUACUGGGCGUAAAGCGUGCGCAGGCGGUUUUGUAAGACAGGCGUGAAAUCCCCGGGCUUAACCUGGGAACUGCGUUUGUGACUGCAAGGCUAGAGUACGGCAGAGGGGGGUGGAAUUCCACGUGUAGCAGUGAAAUGCGUAGAGAUGUGGAGGAACACCAAUGGCGAAGGCAGCCCCCUGGGUCGAUACUGACGCUCAUGCACGAAAGCGUGGGUAGCAAACAGGAUUAGAUACCCUGGUAGUCCACGCCCUAAACUAUGUCAACUAGGUGUUGGGUGGGUAAAACCAUUUAGUACCGUAGCUAACGCGUGAAGUUGACCGCCUGGGGAGUACGGCCGCAAGGUUAAAACUCAAAGGAAUUGACGGGGACCCGCACAAGCGGUGGAUGAUGUGGAUUAAUUCGAUGCAACGCGAAAAACCUUACCUACCCUUGACAUGCCAGGAACUUGCCAGAGAUGGCUUGGUGCCCGAGAGGGAGCCUGGACACAGGUGCUGCAUGGCUGUCGUCAGCUCGUGUCGCGAGAUGUUGGGUUAAGUCCCGCAACGAGCGCAACCCUUGUCGUUAAUUGCCAUCAUUUAGUUGGGCACUUUAACGAGACUGCCGGUGACAAACCGGAGGAAGGUGGGGAUGACGUCAAGUCCUCAUGGCCCUUAUGGGUAGGGCUUCACACGUCAUACAAUGGUCGGUACAAAGGGUUGCCAAGCCGCGAGGCGGAGCCAAUCCCAGAAAGCCGAUCGUAGUCCGGAUUGCAGGCUGCAACUCGCCUGCAUGAAGUCGGAAUCGCUAGUAAUCGUGGAUCAGCAUGUCACGGUGAAUACGUUCCCGGGUCUUGUACACACCGCCCGUCACACCAUGGGAGCGGGUUCCGCCAGAAGUAGGUAGCCUAACCGCAAGGGGGGCGCUUACCACGGCGGGGUUCGUGACUGGGGUGAAGUCGAAACAAGGUAGCCGUAGGGGAACCUGCGGCUG